GAUGAAGAACGUAGUGAAAUGCGAUAAGUAAUGUGAAUUGCAGAAUUCAGUGAAUCAUCGAAUCUUUGAACGCACAUUGCGCCCCUUGGUAUUCCGAGGGGCAUGCCUGUUCGAGCGUCAUUAUAACCCCUCAAGAUCAGCUUGGUAUUGGGGCCUGCCAUCCUGGCAGCCCUUAAAAUCAGUGGCGGUGCCAUCCGGCUCUAAGCGUAGUAACUCUUCUCGCUAUGGAGUCCUGGUGGAUGCUUGCCAUUAAUCUUUUAACUUCUAUGGUUGACCUCGGAUCAGGUAGGGAUACCCGCUGAACUUAAGCAUAUCAAUAAGCGGAGGA
Molecule: unclassified non-coding RNA, 328 nt
Filed under: soil metagenome
Description: partial contains 5.8S ribosomal RNA, internal transcribed spacer 2, and large subunit ribosomal RNA
Rfam family: 5.8S ribosomal RNA (bases 1-120)
Source: RNAcentral